RNAcentral lists this ribosomal RNA (691 nucleotides) under Cryptosporidium ryanae. RNAcentral's name for it is "SSU rRNA". It matches the Rfam family "Eukaryotic small subunit ribosomal RNA", at positions 292 to 1021 of the family's 1831-position model. The record is from RNAcentral. Lineage: Eukaryota; Apicomplexa; Conoidasida; Eucoccidiorida; Cryptosporidiidae.
AUAUCAUUCAAGUUUCUGACCUAUCAGCUUUAGACGGUAGGGUAUUGGCCUACCGUGGCUAUGACGGGUAACGGGGAAUUAGGGUUCGAUUCCGGAGAGGGAGCCUGAGAAACGGCUACCACAUCUAAGGAAGGCAGCAGGCGCGCAAAUUACCCAAUCCUAAUACAGGGAGGUAGUGACAAGAAAUAACAAUACAGAGCCUUACGGUUUUGUAAUUGGAAUGAGUUAAGUGUAAACCCCUUAACAAGUAUCAAUUGGAGGGCAAGUCUGGUGCCAGCAGCCGCGGUAAUUCCAGCUCCAAUAGCGUAUAUUAAAGUUGUUGCAGUUAAAAAGCUCGUAGUUAAUUUUCUGUUAAUUUUUAUAUACAAUGCUACGGUAUUUAUAUAAUAUUAACAUAAUUCAUAUUACUUUUUAGUAUAUGAAACUUUACUUUGAGAAAAUUAGAGUGCUUAAAGCAGGCUAUUGCCUUGAAUACUCCAGCAUGGAAUAAUAUUAAGGAUUUUUAUUCUUCUUAUUGGUUCUAGAAUAAAAAUAAUGAUUAAUAGGGACAGUUGGGGGCAUUUGUAUUUAACAGUCAGAGGUGAAAUUCUUAGAUUUGUUAAAGACAAACUACUGCGAAAGCAUUUGCCAAGGAUGUUUUCAUUAAUCAAGAACGAAAGUUAGGGGAUCGAAGACGAUCAGAUACCGUCGU